This 257-nucleotide small nuclear RNA is filed under the name Salvator merianae (Argentine black and white tegu). RNAcentral describes it as "7SK RNA (ENSSMRG00000002393.1)". It matches the Rfam family "7SK RNA". Rfam says of the family: 7SK was discovered as an abundant small nuclear RNA in the mid-70s but a possible function has only recently been suggested. Two independent studies have found that 7SK RNA binds the CDK9/cyclin T complex (known as elongation factor P-TEFb). The record is from RNAcentral. Lineage: Eukaryota; Metazoa; Chordata; Lepidosauria; Squamata; Teiidae.
GGAUGUGAGGGUGAUCUGGCUGCAACAUUGGUCAUCUCAUUGAUUGCCAGAGCUGAUUUCAUUGGUCUGGAUGGCUAGACAGGUGUCCCUCCCUCCCUCAUUGCUCUAUGUGUGUCCCUUCUGAAGCUGCAGGCUUGGUGGAAGAGGACAGCCAUCCCAAACAGAAGUGUAUCAUUCUUCAGACAAGGGUAUAGACAANGAUUCCACAUGAAAUUACCAAGGUCUGAGUGAAAUCCUCAUUCUGCUUGCCACUAUGG